RNAcentral lists this ribosomal RNA (498 nucleotides) under uncultured bacterium. Its description in RNAcentral is "partial 16S ribosomal RNA". It matches the Rfam family "Bacterial small subunit ribosomal RNA", at positions 28 to 507 of the family's 1533-position model. The record is from RNAcentral.
GACGAACGCUGGCGGCGUGCCUAAUACAUGCAAGUCGAGCGGACGGAUGGGAGCUUGCUCCCAGACCGUCAGCGGCGGACGGGUGAGUAACACGUGGGCAACCUGCCUGUAAGACUGGGAUAACUCCGGGAAACCGGGGCUAAUACCGGAUAACUCUUUCCCUCACAUGAGGGAAAGCUGAAAGAUGGCAUCUCGCUAUCACUUACAGAUGGGCCCGCGGGGCAUUAGCUGGUUGGUGAGGUAACGGCUUACCAAGGCGACGAUGCGUAGCCGACCUGAGGGGGGGAUAGGCCACACUGGGAGUGGGACACGGACCAGACUCCUACGGGAGGCAGCAGUAGGGAAUCUUCCGCAAUGGACGAAAGUCUGACGGAGCAACGCCGCGUGAGUGAUGAAGGUGUUCGGAUCGUAAAACUCUGUUGUCAGGGAAGAACAAGUACCGGAGUAACUGCCGGUAGCUUGACGGUACCUGGUCAGAAAGCCACGGCUAACUACGUG